This 189-nucleotide unclassified non-coding RNA is filed under the name uncultured Exophiala. RNAcentral's name for it is "sequence contains ITS1". The record is from RNAcentral. Lineage: Eukaryota; Fungi; Ascomycota; Eurotiomycetes; Chaetothyriales; Herpotrichiellaceae.
AUAAACCUAGUCGUUCGCGUACAUAGGGGCAACCCUCGCGUGAUGUCAGCAAUACCUAGGUAACCCUUGAAUAAACUACCCUUGUUGCUUUGGCGGGCCGCCGUCUCGGCCAGCGGCUUCGGCUGCUGCGCGCCCGCCAGAGGACCACAACUCUGUAUUAUAUGUCGUCUGAGUACUAUAAAAUAGUUA